This 374-nucleotide ribosomal RNA is filed under the name uncultured eukaryote. RNAcentral describes it as "partial 18S ribosomal RNA". It matches the Rfam family "Eukaryotic small subunit ribosomal RNA", at positions 592 to 976 of the family's 1831-position model. The record is from RNAcentral.
UAAUAGUGUAUAUUAAAGUUGUUGCAGUUAAAAAGCUCGUAGUUGAAUGUUGGUGUCGAACGAGCGGUCAGCUUCGGCUGUACUGCUCUCUCGACUCCUUCCUUCUGUGGACUACGUCGCACUUUACUGUGUGGCGCUAGGACGCAGAUCGUUUACUGUGAAAAAAUUAGAGUGUUCAAAGCAGGCCGUACGCUUGAAUACAUUAGCAUGGAAUAAUGGAAUAGGACGUCGGGCCUAUUUUGUUGGUUCUAGGACCGUCGUAAUGAUUAAUAGGGACAGUUGGGGCCGUUUAUAUUCCGUAGUCAGAGGUGAGAUUCUUGGAUUUACGGAAGAUAAACUACUGCGAAAGCAUUCGGCAAGGAUGUUUNCGUUAA